AAAUGAAUUGACGGGGACCCGCACAAGCAGCGGAGCAUGUGGUUUAAUUCGAAGAUACGCGAAGAACCUUACCAAGGCUUGACAUCGUACGACCGCUAUAGAAAUAUAGUUUUCCUUCGGGACGUAUAGACAGGUGGUGCAUGGUUGUCGUCAGCUCGUGUCGUGAGAUGUUCGGUUAAGUCCGGCAACGAGCGCAACCCCUAUGAGAUGUUGCCAUCAUUAAGUUGGGCACUCAUAUCAGACUGCCGUGGAUAACACGGAGGAAGGCGGGGAUGACGUCAAAUCAUCAUGCCCCUUACGCCUUGGGCUACACACGUGCUACAAUGGGCGCUACAAAGUGCAGCAAGUACGCAAGUAUAAGCGAAUCACAAAAAAGCGUUCUCAGUUCGGAUUGUGGGCUGCAACCCGCCCACAUGAAGCAGGAGUUGCUAGUAAUCCUAAAUCAGAAUGUUAGGGUGAAUGCGUUCCCGGGUCUUGUACACACCGCCCGU
Molecule: ribosomal RNA, 491 nt
Filed under: uncultured bacterium
Lineage: Bacteria
Description: bacterial SSU rRNA
Rfam family: Bacterial small subunit ribosomal RNA
Source: RNAcentral